This 252-nucleotide ribosomal RNA is filed under the name uncultured bacterium. RNAcentral describes it as "partial 16S ribosomal RNA". It matches the Rfam family "Bacterial small subunit ribosomal RNA", at positions 524 to 775 of the family's 1533-position model. The record is from RNAcentral.
UACAGAGGGUGCGAGCGUUAAUCGGAAUUACUGGGCGUAAAGCGCGCGUAGACGGUUUGGUAAGUCAGAUGUGAAAUCCCUGGGCUCAACCUGGGAACUGCAUUUGAUACUGCCUGGCUAGAGUAUCGAAGAGGGAAGUGGAAUUUCCGGUGUAGCGGUGAAAUGCGUAGAUAUCGGAAGGAACACCAGUGGCGAAAGCGGCGCGCUGGACCACUACUGACGCUGAGGAACGAAAGCUAGGGGAGCAAACAG